AGGAGCUUAGGUGCGGCGUCUGCGCAGAAGGUGCUGGACCAGGUCCUAGGUGGAUCGAUCCCUGCUGGUCCGCAAUGUGGGGUGCUGCAGGGUUUUCUGGCGUGGCCCCCAGAAACUAUCACCAGCGCCUUCAGCCUCGGUGCACAGACACUUCAAAUCCAAGCAGCACCUGGAAAUGCUGCCUGCCCCAGGCACCGGGGCCUCACUGGAGGCAAAGCCUUCCAUUCCACAGGACCAGGAACCAGGAGCUAAGGUGUCUGGAGCCCUGAGGAGAGAGGCAGCCAGGAACAGGUGAGAGGUGACACAAGAACUGGAGGAAACCUAGGCUGGUUGCUAGGUAACACCAGACCAGGACACCAAACCAGGAAUUCAUAGCCUCCUAUAUUCCCCUGUGCCUGCCUCUGUGGACCCC
RNAcentral lists this long non-coding RNA (412 nucleotides) under Cricetulus griseus (Chinese hamster). RNAcentral's name for it is "lncRNA (ENSCGRG00015029689.1)". The record is from RNAcentral. Lineage: Eukaryota; Metazoa; Chordata; Mammalia; Rodentia; Cricetidae.